Molecule: ribosomal RNA, 750 nt
Filed under: uncultured Thelephoraceae
Lineage: Eukaryota; Fungi; Basidiomycota; Agaricomycetes; Thelephorales; Thelephoraceae
Description: eukaryotic LSU rRNA
Rfam family: 5.8S ribosomal RNA (bases 212-366)
Source: RNAcentral
AGGAUCAUUACCGAAUUGUCAACACGAGUUGUUGCUGGUCCCCAAACGGGGGCAUGUGCACGCUCUGUUUGUACAUCCACUCACACCCGUGCACCCUCCGUAGUUCUGCAGCCUGGGGGCUCUGUCCCCCUGCCGUAGCUCUAUGUAUUUACACACACACACCGUAAUAAAGUCCCAUGGAAUGUAUACCGCGUUUAACGCAAUACAAUACAACUUUCAGCAACGGAUCUCUUGGCUCUCGCAUCGAUGAAGAACGCAGCGAAAUGCGAUAAGUAAUGUGAAUUGCAGAAUUCAGUGAAUCAUCGAAUCUUUGAACGCACCUUGCGCCCUUUGGCUAUUCCGAAGGGCAUGCCUGUUUGAGUAUCAUGAACACCUCAACUCUCAUGGUUUGCCAUGAUGAGCUUGGACUUUGGGGGUCUUGCUGGCCUGUGGUCAGCUCCUCUCAAAUGAAUCAGCUUGCCAGUGUUUGGUGGCAUCACAGGUGUGAUAACUAUCUACGCUUGUGGUUUUCCAUCAGGUAACCUUCAGUGAUGAAGGUUCGCUGGGGCUCAUAAACGUCUCUCCUCGAUGAGGACAGCUCUUUGAACGUUUGAUCUCAAAUCAGGUAGGACUACCCGCUGAACUUAAGCAUAUCAAUAAGCGGAGGAAAAGAAACUAACAAGGAUUCCCCUAGUAACUGCGAGUGAAGCGGGAACAGCUCAAAUUUAAAAUCUGACGUGCCUCUGGUCGUCCGAGUUGUAGUCUGGAGAA